This 421-nucleotide ribosomal RNA is filed under the name uncultured bacterium. RNAcentral's name for it is "partial 16S ribosomal RNA". It matches the Rfam family "Bacterial small subunit ribosomal RNA", at positions 360 to 773 of the family's 1533-position model. The record is from RNAcentral.
AAUAUUGGACAAUGGGGGCAACCCUGAUCCAGCCAUGCCUCGUGUGUGAAGAAGGUCUUCGGAUUGUAAAGCACUUUAAGUUGGGAGGAAGGGCUGUAGGUUAAUACCCUGAAGUUUUGACGUUACCAACAGUAUAAGCACCGGCUAACUCUGUGCCAGCAGCCGCGGUAAUACCGAGGGUGCAAGCCUUAAUCGGAAUUCCUGGCCGUAAAACGCGCGUAAGUGGUUCAGAAAGAUGGGUGUGAAAUCCCCGGGCUUAACCUGGGAACUGCUUUCAUAACUGCUGAGCUAGAGUACGGUAGAGGGUAGUGGAAUUUCCUGUGUAGCGGUGAAAUGCGUUGAUAUAGGAAGGAACACCAGUGGCGAAGGCGACUACAUGGACUGAUACUGACACUGAAGUGCGAAAGCGUGGGGAGCAAAC